This 2044-nucleotide ribosomal RNA is filed under the name Escherichia coli. RNAcentral's name for it is "partial 23S ribosomal RNA". It matches the Rfam family "Bacterial large subunit ribosomal RNA", at positions 1 to 2070 of the family's 2925-position model. The record is from RNAcentral. Lineage: Bacteria; Pseudomonadati; Pseudomonadota; Gammaproteobacteria; Enterobacterales; Enterobacteriaceae.
GGUUAAGCGACUAAGCGUACACGGUGGAUGCCCUGGCAGUCAGAGGCGAUGAAGGACGUGCUAAUCUGCGAUAAGCGUCGGUGAGGUGAUAUGAACCGUUAUAACCGGCGAUUUCCGAAUGGGGAAACCCAGUGUGUUUCGACACACUAUCAUUAACUGAAUCCAUAGGUUAAUGAGGCGAACCGGGGGAACUGAAACAUCUAAGUACCCCGAGGAAAAGAAAUCAACCGAGAUUCCCCCAGUAGCGGCGAGCGAACGGGGAGGAGCCCAGAGCCUGAAUCAGUGUGUGUGUUAGUGGAAGCGUCUGGAAAGGCGCGCGAUACAGGGUGACAGCCCCGUACACAAAAAUGCACAUAUUGUGAGCUCGAUGAGUAGGGCGGGACACGUGGUAUCCUGUCUGAAUAUGGGGGGACCAUCCUCCAAGGCUAAAUACUCCUGACUGACCGAUAGUGAACCAGUACCGUGAGGGAAAGGCGAAAAGAACCCCGGCGAGGGGAGUGAAAAAGAACCUGAAACCGUGUACGUACAAGCAGUGGGAGCCUCUUAAUGGGGUGACUGCGUACCUUUUGUAUAAUGGGUCAGCGACUUAUAUUCUGUAGCAAGGUUAACCGAAUAGGGGAGCCGAAGGGAAACCGAGUCUUAACUGGGCGUUAAGUUGCAGGGUAUAGACCCGAAACCCGGUGAUCUAGCCAUGGGCAGGUUGAAGGUUGGGUAACACUAACUGGAGGACCGAACCGACUAAUGUUGAAAAAUUAGCGGAUGACUUGUGGCUGGGGGUGAAAGGCCAAUCAAACCGGGAGAUAGCUGGUUCUCCCCGAAAGCUAUUUAGGUAGCGCCUCGUGAAUUCAUCUCCGGGGGUAGAGCACUGUUUCGGCAAGGGGGUCAUCCCGACUUACCAACCCGAUGCAAACUGCGAAUACCGGAGAAUGUUAUCACGGGAGACACACGGCGGGUGCUAACGUCCGUCGUGAAGAGGGAAACAACCCAGACCGCCAGCUAAGGUCCCAAAGUCAUGGUUAAGUGGGAAACGAUGUGGGAAGGCCCAGACAGCCAGGAUGUUGGCUUAGAAGCAGCCAUCAUUUAAAGAAAGCGUAAUAGCUCACUGGUCGAGUCGGCCUGCGCGGAAGAUGUAACGGGGCUAAACCAUGCACCGAAGCUGCGGCAGCGACACUAUGUGUUGUUGGGUAGGGGAGCGUUCUGUAAGCCUGUGAAGGUGGCCUGUGAGGGUUGCUGGAGGUAUCAGAAGUGCGAAUGCUGACAUAAGUAACGAUAAAGCGGGUGAAAAGCCCGCUCGCCGGAAGACCAAGGGUUCCUGUCCAACGUUAAUCGGGGCAGGGUGAGUCGACCCCUAAGGCGAGGCCGAAAGGCGUAGUCGAUGGGAAACAGGUUAAUAUUCCUGUACUUGGUGUUACUGCGAAGGGGGGACGGAGAAGGCUAUGUUGGCCGGGCGACGGUUGUCCCGGUUUAAGCGUGUAGGCUGGUUUUCCAGGCAAAUCCGGAAAAUCAAGGCUGAGGCGUGAUGACGAGGCACUACGGUGCUGAAGCGACAAAUGCCCUGCUUCCAGGAAAAGCCUCUAAGCAUCAGGUAACAUCAAAUCGUACCCCAAACCGACACAGGUGGUCAGGUAGAGAAUACCAAGGCGCUUGAGAGAACUCGGGUGAAGGAACUAGGCAAAAUGGUGCCGUAACUUCGGGAGAAGGCACGCUGAUAUGUAGGUGAAGCGACUUGCUCGUGGAGCUGAAAUCAGUCGAAGAUACCAGCUGGCUGCAACUGUUUAUUAAAAACACAGCACUGUGCAAACACGAAAGUGGACGUAUACGGUGUGACGCCUGCCCGGUGCCGGAAGGUUAAUUGAUGGGGUUAGCGGUAACGCGAAGCUCUUGAUCGAAGCCCCGGUAAACGGCGGCCGUAACUAUAACGGUCCUAAGGUAGCGAAAUUCCUUGUCGGGUAAGUUCCGACCUGCACGAAUGGCGUAAUGAUGGCCAGGCUGUCUCCACCCGAGACUCAGUGAAAUUGAACUCGCUGUGAAGAUGCAGUGUACC